Ictidomys tridecemlineatus (thirteen-lined ground squirrel) is the source of this 3325-nucleotide non-coding RNA. Lineage: Eukaryota; Metazoa; Chordata; Mammalia; Rodentia; Sciuridae. The record is from RefSeq and is a predicted model, not a curated record.
AUGGCCAGGCUGCUUGCAAGAAGCAGGGAUAGGCGGCGGUGCAGAGUGGCAAGAACACUGUGUCCUGCAUUAAGCCCUGCUCCCUCAGAGGCUGUGUGUCAGACGACUGGUACCCCGGUUCUUCGGGCGGGUGAGCCAAUUAGCACAUUCCCUAGUCUGGAACUGUAGUUGCUGUGUAUGUGAUCUGCAUACUGAUUCAGCUGAGAUUUGACCUUCUGGGCGGAGAAAAACAAGAAUCCCAGCCACAUUUGCCUUGCCAGCAGUAAAUCCUGAGCAUUUCAGAAUGGACCCAACCAGAAAGACAACAUUUCAAAAAGUUUUAGGUCACCCCUGGGCCACAUGGAGGACCCUUAAGAUGAGCUGACAAAGAAAGAAACUGAGGAGUUGGCAGAGAGCAGCUGCUGCACACAGCUGUUGCUGAUGGAUGGUCCUGAAAGACAGUGAUGUGGGAAGACCCACGUCUUUGGAAAAAGAAGCAGCCUAAGGACUUGUAGUAAGUGGGGUUUGGGGAAAGCAUGGCACUUGGCAAGAUGCAGAACGGAAAGUCAGUUCUACUGCUGAACAGAAAGCAAGCAUGGUGACAGGUUUCCUUCCCUUCCUCCGGAAUCACCACAGCUUUCCAAUGGCUAGUCCCAACUGGAAGCAAGAAGACAAGAGAACCUCUGGAUACUCCCCUGCAGGCCAGCUCCCAGGGCAGAGAGCAGAAUACAGUUCAGAGGGAAAGCAGAUAACUAUUUGGCUUAGCUUUUUACGUCUGCGAUGUGGAAAUUUCUAAGCCUUAUCUUCUAAUACUAAGUUUUGCAAAUUAAAUCUCCCAAACAUUUUUUCUCUCUCUCUCUCUCUCUUUUUCUUUUUUUGGCUGGGAAUGCCUUUUUCUACUAUCCCAUAAGGUAAUUAAAUUAGUUCUUCAAGAUCUGAGUUAGAAAUAUUUCUCCUGGUACUUUAUCUGAUCCUAUCCCCGAAGAUGUUAGUUGUAGUAUACACAAAUGACACUGUAGCAUUUUUUUUUUCAGAGUAAUUGUGUUGGUAGAAAUGGUCAUAGUAGCUUACACCUUAGUAAAGAAAAUGUUGUCUGCUGGGUACUUUCUUUUGCUUUAAGAAUACCCAGGCUUAACCUCAUUUAAUCUUCACAGCAACUCAUAAGACAUAUUCAAGUUUUACAAAUAAGGAACCUAAAGAUUAGAAUUUAUUUUACUCACCUUAGUCGUUACAGAUGAUAUGUGAUAGAAUAAGAAUGUAAAUCUCUGUCUCAUUCCAAAGCUUUUGCCUUUUAAUCACCCUCUGCCACUACCAUGUCUGUCCACCCAGUAGGCUACUGGGUCCAUAAGGGAAAAAUCUAGAUCUUUAAACUACAUUUUUAGACUACAGCAACUUGCAUAGCAUCUACUCCAUAUCAGACAUUUCUGAAUGUUCCUAGAAUUAAAUAUUAAUGAUGCAGAGAAAAACAAACUAAAUAGGCUUAUAGAAUUAAAGCACAUUUAUCAAUAGAAAAAUCCAAGACAUAAAACAAAGGAAAAGCAGGCAAAAGCUAAGGACACAAAACAUCAUUCCUUUUCCUAGACAUGUAGUAGGUUUACUUUGAUCCACUUCUGUCAGCUGGAUUCAAGAUAAUAUUUCCUCACUAUUUUGCUAAGAGCCAUGCAAUCGACUUCUUUUUUUCUUUUUUUGAAUUUGAAAUAGCCAGCCUCCUUUUCCUCCAAAAAGUCUUCUCCUGAAGCAAAACCCUCCCUCCUGAAGCAAAGCCUCUCUUCUAGCUUUGUUCUACCAGUUGUUUGUUCUACUAGUGUCAGUCCCUUUGAGUUUCUCUCUGGAUCAGAUCUAGAACCAAUAACUCCCCCUUAUUUUGAAUGGCUGAGCUAGUGUCCAUCUCAGUUGCACUUGCUAUGUUGGGGGCCUCUGCAGUCCUGUCCUUUAUCUCAGCUAUUUCAAUAGCCUCCUCCAGCCAAAGCUGGUUGAAUUCUUAAACAGGUUGAGUUUUUUUUUUUUUUUUAAGGUGAGGUUAUUUUGGUACAGGACAAAUAUCUUCCGUAAAAAGUAAGUCAUUUUACUAUAAGCAAGUCAACUCCAUAAGCAACACAGACUUAGGACUCAACUUCAGUGAUAAGUAGGUGAUGAAUCCAGUAAUUCUGCAUUUAAGAUACUGAGAAAGUCUUGAGCAUAUUUCAGACCAACUGCCUAUUUGGUGAAGAAAUCCCUAUUAUAACAAACUGGGACUUAGUAGUCCAUGAUGAAAACCUUUCCUGUUUUGAAAGAAGAAUCUAGUUCUGUAUUGGGUGCAGAGCUGCCUCAAAUUAAACCGAAGUUUGCUUCUCUUGAAAUUUAUGACUCAUUCUUUUAAGUAAUGCUUACCGACUGCUCGAUUACUGGCAGUGUGCUAUGUUCGAGGAUUUCUACUUAUUUAUCUACUAAAACUAAAUGCAAUAGUUCUGCCCAAUUGUCUACGAAAUUACAUGAGAAGUCUGAAAGAAAGAAGGUGGAGAGUCCACUGGUGGGAGCAUUAGGAUGCAACAUGUUGUCACGGAAGGAGAAGCCUACUCCAUUCAAGCCAUUCCAAUGAACCAUUUCCAUUGAGUUCAUGAGUGACAUAGCUUCAUCCUCUGAAAAUUGUGAAGAGAGACCAGACUUGCUUAUCUCAAAGGAAGUACAGUACUAAUCCUUCUAGUGUGUGAAGGUUUCUCUUGCCUGCCCCUCCAGCCAGUUGGAGCCAGUAACAUCAAUUCCACAAAAAGAUCAUUGAAGCAUAAGAAGCUACUACUUUAGGCCAUGUUCAGUGAACCAAGCAAGUUGCUAUGGGUCAGGAGUCUGGACACCUAAGCUUGAUCUUCUGCUCAGAGUAUGACAAGGCAGAAAUCAGGAUACUGACUAAGGCAGCAAUCUCAUUUGAGGAUCAUGGUGCUCUCCUGGCCUCAUUCAGGUUAUUGGUAAUAUAUUUUUUUUUACUGUGACUCUAGGACUAAAGUCCUCAUUUUCUUGCUGGUGUUGGUUGAUGGUUACUCUAAGCUCUUAGAUGCUGCCCUCAGGUCCUAACAGUUUGGGCUUCUGGAAGCAUGGCAAUUUAUUUUUUUCAAAGCCAACAAUUAAAUCUAUCUCUAGUCUGCUACCAUGAACUCUCAUACAUUCUAAUAUAACCUGGGUAGUGAUUUUCUUACCGUUCCCACACCCCACCCCACUCAAGGACAGCCUGUAUGCACCUUGAAGCAGGAGUCUCGGAAACCAUCUUAGCAUUCUGCCUGUCACAAUGAACAACAGGAAUUUAUUCCAGAAUUGUAAGCCCUGCUGAACAUGCAGAGAUCAAUGUUAUUUACCACCUAAAAACAAAAACAAA